Molecule: ribosomal RNA, 253 nt
Filed under: uncultured bacterium
Lineage: Bacteria
Description: partial 16S ribosomal RNA
Rfam family: Bacterial small subunit ribosomal RNA
Source: RNAcentral
UACGAAGGGGGCUAGCGUUGUUCGGAAUUACUGGGCGUAAAGCACACGUAGGCGGAUAUUUAAGUCAGGGGUGAAAUCCCAGAGCUCAACUCUGGAACUGCCUUUGAUACUGGGUAUCUUGAGUAUGGAAGAGGUGAGUGGAAUUCCGAGUGUAGAGGUGAAAUUCGUAGAUAUUCGGAGGAACACCAGUGGCGAAGGCGGCUCACUGGUCCAUUACUGACGCUGAGGUGCGAAAGCGUGGGGAGCAAACAGG